RNAcentral lists this ribosomal RNA (1329 nucleotides) under Junonia coenia (buckeye). Its description in RNAcentral is "16S ribosomal RNA". The record is from RNAcentral. Lineage: Eukaryota; Metazoa; Arthropoda; Insecta; Lepidoptera; Nymphalidae.
GGGGGAAAAUUAAUAAUUUAAAUUUAAUAAAAGAAAUUUUAAUAUUAAAAAGAAAAAUGGGGGUUUGAGUAUUUUUAAUAGAAAAAAUUAAAAGUUUUAUAGUUAAAUAUUACUGUAAAGGAAUUUAUAAAUAAAUGAAAUAUAAUUAAUGAAAAAGUAAAUUUAAAUUAUUGUAUCUUGUGUAUCAGAGUUUAUUAAAUAAUAAUAAUUUAUUUAAAUAAAUCUCGAAUUUAAAAGAGUUAAUUAAUUAAAAAAGUUAAUGUUGUAUAAUUAUUUUAAAUAAUUAAUUAGAAAUGAAAUGUUAAUCGUUUUUAAAUAUAUCUAGUUUUUUCAGAAAAAAAUUUAAUUUUAAAUUUAAAUAAUUUUAUAAUUAUUUAAUUAAUUAUAAAAAUUUAAAUUUUAAUAUUUUAGGGGAUAAGCUUUAAAUUAAAAAUUUAUAAUUAAAAAUAAUUAAAAUUAAAAUUUUUAAAAUUUAUAUUGUUUAAAAAUUAUAGUUUAUUAUAAAAAAUUUUAUUAAAAAUAAAAUUUAAAAUAAAAAAAUUUAAAUUUUUAUGAAAAAAUAAUUUAUAAUUUAAUAAAAUUAGAAAUAAUGAUAAAAUUAGUAUAAUAUAAUAAAUUAAAAAAAAAAUUAUAGAUAAUUAAGUUAAAGGAAUUCGGCAAAAAUUUAUAUUCACUUGUUUAUCAAAAACAUGUCUUUUUGAUAAUAAUUUAAAGUCUAAUCUGCCCACUGAUAUUAUAUUAAAGGGCUGCAGUAUAUUGACUGUACAAAGGUAGCAUAAUCAUUAGUCUUUUAAUUGAAGACUUGUAUGAAAGAUUUGAUGAAAUAUAAACUGUCUCUAAUUUAUGAUUAGAAAUUAAUUUUUUAGUUAAAAAGCUAAAAUAAAAUUAAAAGACGAGAAGACCCUAUAGAGUUUUAUAUUUUAUUUAAUUAAUAUAAAAUAUAUAAUUAAAUAUAUUAAUUAAAUAAAAUAUUGUGUUGGGGUGAUAGAAAAAUUUAAUAAACUUUUUUUAAAAUUAAACAUAAAUAAGUGGUUAAUUGAUCCAUUAAUAAUGAUUAAAAGAAAAAAUUACCUUAGGGAUAACAGCGUAAUAUUUUUUUUUAGUACGUAUAAAAAAAAAAGUUUGCGACCUCGAUGUUGGAUUAAGAUAAAAUUUAAAUGCAAAAGUUUAAAAUUUUGAUCUGUUCGAUCAUUAAAAUCUUACAUGAUCUGAGUUCAAACCGGUGUAAGCCAGGUUGGUUUCUAUCUUUAAUAAAAAAAAAUAUUUUAGUACGAAAGGAUCAAAUAUUUAAAAUAAUUUUAUAACAAUGAAUAUUAAUAAUAUAGUUUA